This 1690-nucleotide ribosomal RNA is filed under the name human oral metagenome. Its description in RNAcentral is "bacterial LSU rRNA". It matches the Rfam family "Bacterial large subunit ribosomal RNA", at positions 1253 to 2925 of the family's 2925-position model. The record is from RNAcentral.
AAGCUAAGUUGGAAGACGAAGUGGACUUUACAGAAGAGAGAAUGCUGGCAUGAGUAGCGAAAAGGAGGGUGAGAAUCCCUCCCGUCGAAAGCCUAAGGAUUCCUGAGGAAGGCUCGUCCUCUCAGGGUAAGUCGGGACCUAAGCCCAGGCUGAAAAGCGUAAGCGAUGGACAACAGGUUGAGAUUCCUGUACUAUCUUUGAAUGUUUGAGAGAUGUACUGACGCAGGAGGAUAUGUUGAGCGUGUGAAUGGUAGAGCACGUCUAAGCAAGUAGGUAGAGAAUAGAGGCAAAUCCCUAUUCUUAAUAUCGAGAUGCGAUGGGGAGCGAAAAAUAAGUAGUGAAGCAACAGAUUCCAAACUGCCAAGAAAAGGUACUAUUGAGUGAGAAGAUACCCGUACCAAAACCGACACAGGUAGGCAAGGAGAGAAUCCUAAGACGCGCGGAAGAACCUUUGUUAAGGAACUCGGCAAAAUGACCCCGUAACUUCGGGAGAAGGGGUACCAUUAGAUGUGAAGUACUUACGUAUGGAGCAUAGAGUGGUCGCAGAGAAUAGGCCCAAGCAACUGUUUACCAAAAACACAAGUCUCUGCUAAAUCGAAAGAUGAAGUAUAGGGGCUGACACCUGCCCGGUGCUGGAAGGUUAAGGGGAAAUGUUAGAGCAAUCGAAGCAUAGAACUUAAGCCCCAGUAAACGGCGGCCGUAACUAUAACGGUCCUAAGGUAGCGAAAUUCCUUGUCGGGUAAGUUCCGACCCGCACGAAAGGUGUAAUGAUUUGGGCACUGUCUCAACAAAGGAUCCGGUGAAAUUGUAGUAGUCGUGAAGAUGCGACUUACCCACGAUAGGACGGAAAGACCCCGUGGAGCUUUACUGUAGGCUGGCAUUGGAAUUUGGUAUUAAAUGUACAGGAUAGGUGGGAGACAAUGAAGCGAGAGCGCCAGUUUUCGUGGAGUCAACGUUGGGAUACCACUCUUUUGAUACUAAAUUUCUAACUUGAUACUCUGAAGCGAGUAUAAGGACACUGUCAGUUGGGCAGUUUGACUGGGGCGGUCGCCUCCUAAAGAGUAACGGAGGCGUUCAAAGGUUCCCUCAGAAUGGAUGGAAAUCAUUCUAAGAGUGCAAAGGCAAAAGGGAGCUUAACUGCGACACCAACAAGUGGAGCAGAUAGGAAACUAGGACUUAGUGAUCCGGUGGUACCGAGUGGAAGGGCCAUCGCUCAACGGAUAAAAGCUACCCCGGGGAUAACAGGCUUAUCUCCCCCAAGAGUUCACAUCGACGGGGAGGUUUGGCACCUCGAUGUCGGCUCGUCUCAUCCUGGGGCUGGAGUAGGUCCCAAGGGUUGGGCUGUUCGCCCAUUAAAGAGGCACGCGAGCUGGGUUCAGAACGUCGUGAGACAGUUCGGUCCCUAUCCAUCGUGGGCGUAGGAAAUUUGAGAGGAGCUGUCCUUAGUACGAGAGGACCGGGAUGGACAGACCGCUGGUGUAUCAGUUAUCAUGCCAAUGGUAAUGCUGAAUAGCUAAGUCUGGAAGGGAUAAGUGCUGAAGGCAUCUAAGCACGAAGCCCCCCUCAAGAUGAGAUUUCCUGUUGCAGCAAUGCAAGAGAGAUUCGAUACAGAAAAUGUCGUAGAUAGGUCAGAGGUGUAAAGGUGGCAACAUCAAAGCUAACUGAUACUAAUAAAUCGAAAGCUUGACCA